This 253-nucleotide ribosomal RNA is filed under the name uncultured bacterium. RNAcentral's name for it is "partial 16S ribosomal RNA". It matches the Rfam family "Bacterial small subunit ribosomal RNA", at positions 524 to 776 of the family's 1533-position model. The record is from RNAcentral.
UACGUAGGGGGCAAGCGUUGUCCGGAUUUAUUGGGCGUAAAGCGCUCGCAGGUGGUCCGAUGCGUCGUGCGUGAAAGACCCCGGCUCAACUGGGGAGGGUCGUGCGAUACGGUCGGACUGGAGGCCAGUAGGGGGAUGCGGAAUUCCGGGUGUAGUGGUGGAAUGCGUAGAGAUCCGGAGGAACACCAGCGGCGAAGGCGGCAUCCUGGACCAAUACUGACGCUCAUGUGCGAAAGCGUGGGGAGCAAACAGG